Molecule: ribosomal RNA, 253 nt
Filed under: uncultured bacterium
Lineage: Bacteria
Description: partial 16S ribosomal RNA
Rfam family: Bacterial small subunit ribosomal RNA
Source: RNAcentral
UACGUAGGGUGCGAGCGUUAAUCGGAAUUACUGGGCGUAAAGCGUGCGCAGGCGGCUUGCCAAGUCAGAUGUGAAAGCCCCGGGCUCAACCCGGGAACUGCGUUUGAAACUGGCAGGCUAGAGUUUGGCAGAGGGGGGUGGAAUUCCACGUGUAGCAGUGAAAUGCGUAGAGAUGUGGAGGAAUACCGAUGGCGAAGGCAGCCCCCUGGGAUAACACUGACGCUCAUGCACGAAAGCGUGGGGAGCAAACAGG